GGCAAAUGCUUGAAAGCCAAGCAGGAAUCUCCAGAAACGGAGGACGGCUACCCAAUCGUCCUCAGCUACAAGGGCUCAGAACCCAAGUGAACCAAUGGAGUACCACGCUGUUUACGGCGACAUUGAUGUGUGUGCGGUAACCAGGAUGACCUAUAUAAGUGACGACGCACUGCAAGUGUUUGUGACCAAGUCUCACUACGAGAACUAUGGUCGGAAUGCCAGCUGCUGCGAUUUUAUUUACACCAUGCUCUCCGGCUCGUCUCAGAAGUACGACAUCUACGACGAGAGCUGCGACAC
Molecule: long non-coding RNA, 297 nt
Organism: Ixodes scapularis (black-legged tick)
Lineage: Eukaryota; Metazoa; Arthropoda; Arachnida; Ixodida; Ixodidae
Exons: 3
Source: RefSeq, a predicted model, not a curated record